AGGCGCCGGUGGGGCCUGCUUCAAGUGCGGGGAGCCUGGCCACAUGGCCAGGGACUGCUCGGUCAACGGCCCCGCUGGUGGCGGCGGCGGCGGCGGCUGCUACAAGUGCGGCGAGCAAGGCCACAUCGCCAGGGACUGCUUCAACGGCGGCGCCGGCGGAGGAGGCGGCGGCUACGGCGGCGGCGGCGGCGGUAACUGCUACAGCUGCGGCGAGCCGGGCCACAUCGCGAGGGACUGCCCCACCAGCAGCGGCUUUGGCGGGGGCGGCGGCGGGAGGUUCGGCGGAGGAGGCGGCGGCGGCGGCGACCGCACCUGCUACCACUGCGGCGAGACCGGCCACAUCUCCCGCGACUGCACCAAGUGAGGGGAUAUCUCUGCCCCUCCCCCUCUAUAGAUUGCGCCUAAAUACCUCUCGUCUUAGUUUUGCCGAUCGAUCGAUCUGGGCCUGAGCGCCCAGCCGCAGCCGCCUCGCUUAUUUUAUCUUCCUCCCCCCUUCCGUUCUCGGAAUCCGUCCUAGGGGAAAGUCAGUCAGUCAGUCAGUCCGUGUGAUGGUUAAUUUUGCUAUGAAUUGGUCCUCUGGUACCCGUACCCGUACUCUCAGUUGAUGUCUAAGGUCGUGAUGAUGAUGGAUUAUUGGUGAUUUUUGUGUGGUGAUGAUGAGGAGAUUGCAACACAUCUCUGUUUUUUGGUUUCAUCGAUGAAGUAAAAGAUGCCGGUCGUUAUUAUCAUCCUCCAUGAGUGAAUGAAUGAAUUCUCUCUUGUCAGAUCAGAUCUCUGCUCUAGUGGUAGAACUAUUACCUCUGUCUGACAUCCUGUUUGUUAAUUGAUUAUGAUUAUGUUAAAGUAGAGUUUG
This 853-nucleotide long non-coding RNA is filed under the name Triticum aestivum (bread wheat). RNAcentral's name for it is "long non-coding RNA (TAES_LNC012938)". The record is from RNAcentral. Lineage: Eukaryota; Viridiplantae; Streptophyta; Magnoliopsida; Poales; Poaceae.